This 469-nucleotide ribosomal RNA is filed under the name uncultured bacterium. RNAcentral describes it as "partial 16S ribosomal RNA". It matches the Rfam family "Bacterial small subunit ribosomal RNA", at positions 28 to 507 of the family's 1533-position model. The record is from RNAcentral.
GACGAACGCUGGCGGCGUGCUUAACACAUGCAAGUCGAACGGAAAGGCCCUGCUUUUGUGGGGUGCUCGAGUGGCGAACGGGUGAGUAACACGUGAGUAACCUGCCCUUGACUUUGGGAUAACUUCAGGAAACUGGGGCUAAUACCGGAUAGGAGCUCCUGCUGCAUGGUGGGGGUUGGAAAGUUUCGGCGGUUGGGGAUGGACUCGCGGCUUAUCAGCUUGUUGGUGGGGGAGUGGCUUACCAAGGCUUUGGCGGGUAGCCGGGCUUGGAGGGUGAACGGGCAAAAUGGGGAUGGGGAUCGGGCCAGACUUCUAAGGGGGGGAGCAGGGGGGAAUAUUGCAAUAAUGGGGGGAGGCUGAUGGAGGAACGGCGGGGUGGGGGAUACGGGCUUCCGGGUGGAAACCGGUUUCGCUCAUGAAGAAGCCGUGUGUGACGGUAGUGGGUAAAGAAGCACCGGCUAACUACGUG